Molecule: ribosomal RNA, 457 nt
Filed under: uncultured organism
Description: partial 16S ribosomal RNA
Rfam family: Bacterial small subunit ribosomal RNA
Source: RNAcentral
ACUCCUGCGGGAGGCAGCAGUGGGGAAUAUUGCACAAUGGGCGCAAGCCUGAUGCAGCGACGCCGCGUGGGGGAUGAAGGCCUUCGGGUUGUAAACUCCUUUCGCUAGGGACGAAGCUUUUUUGUGACGGUACCUAGAUAAGAAGCACCGGCUAACUACGUGCCAGCAGCCGCGGUAAUACGUAGGGUGCGAGCGUUGUCCGGAAUUACUGGGCGUAAAGGGCUCGUAGGUGGUUUGUCGCGUCGUCUGUGAAAUUCUGGGGCUUAACUCCGGGCGUGCAGGCGAUACGGGCAUAACUUGAGUGCUGUAGGGGUAACUGGAAUUCCUGGUGUAGCGGUGAAAUGCGCAGAUAUCAGGAGGAACACCGAUGGCGAAGGCAGGUUACUGGGCAGUUACUGACGCUGAGGAGCGAAAGCAUGGGUAGCGAACAGGAUUAGAUACCCGUGUAGUCCCAUGA